UACCUGCAGCUCAAGUGGUGGCCGCUAUUAUUGGGCCUAAAACGUCCGUAGCCGGUUUGGUAAAUGCCUGGGUAAAUCGUGUAGCUUAACUAUACGAAUUCUGGGUAGACUGUCAAACUUGAGACCGGGAGAGGCUAGAGGUACUCUUGGGGUAGAGGUGAAAUUCUGUAAUCCUAGAGGGACCACCAGUGGCGAAGGCGUCUAACUAGAACGGGUCUGACGGUGAGGGACGAAGCCCCGGGGCGCAAACCGGAUUAGAUACCCGGGUAGUCCAGGGUGUAAACGCUGCUUGCUUGAUGUUAGUCGGGCUCCGAGUCCGAUUAGUGUCGGAGAGAAGUUGUUAAGCAAGCUGCCUGGGAAGUACGGUCGCAAGAUUGAAACUUAAAGGAAUUGGCGGGGGAGCACAGCAACGGGUGGAGCGUGCGGUUU
RNAcentral lists this ribosomal RNA (429 nucleotides) under uncultured archaeon. RNAcentral's name for it is "bacterial SSU rRNA". It matches the Rfam family "Archaeal small subunit ribosomal RNA", at positions 474 to 903 of the family's 1478-position model. The record is from RNAcentral.